ACGCACGCUGGCGGCGUGCUUAACCCCUGCCAGUCGAACGGGUCUGCCCUGUUUUUUGCGGGGUGGGUCAGUGGCGAACGGGUGAGUAACACGUGAGUAACCUGCCCCUCACUUCUGGAUAACCGCUUGAAAGGGUGGCUAAUACGGGGUGUUCUGGCUGUGCCGCAUGGUGUGGCUGGGAAAGAUUCACUUUUGUGGUGUUUUGGUGGGGGAUGGGCUCGCGGCCUAUCAGCUUGUUGGUGGGGUGAUGGCCUGCCAAGGCUUUGACGGGUAGCCGGCCUGAGAGGGUGGGCGGUCACACUGGGACUGAGAUACGGCCCAGACUCCUGCGGGAGGCAGCAGUGGGGGGUAUUGCACAAUGGGCGGAAGCCUGAUGCAGCGACGUCGCGUGAGGGAUGGAGGCCUUCGGGUUGUGAACCUCUUUCGCCGGUGAAGAAGGUCCUGCUCUUUGUGGGGGGGUUGACGGUAGCCGGGUUAUGAAGCGCCGGCUAACUACGUG
This 499-nucleotide ribosomal RNA is filed under the name uncultured bacterium. RNAcentral's name for it is "partial 16S ribosomal RNA". It matches the Rfam family "Bacterial small subunit ribosomal RNA", at positions 29 to 507 of the family's 1533-position model. The record is from RNAcentral.